GGUCUCCGUUGGUGAACCAGCGGAGGGAUCAUUACCGAGUUUAAACUCCCAAACCCAUGUGAACAUUACCUCUAUGUUGCUUCGGCGGAGCCGCCCCGGCGCCCGGAACCCCCUGCGGUCCCGCGGCCCGGAACCAAGGCGCCCGCCGGAGGCCACAAACUCUUCUGUUUUUACAGUUUCUUCUGAGUGUGCCGCAAGGCAGUAUACAAAUGAAUCAAAACUUUCAACAACGGAUCUCUUGGUUCUGGCAUCGAUGAAGAACGCAGCGAAAUGCGAUAAGUAAUGUGAAUUGCAGAAUUCAGUGAAUCAUCGAAUCUUUGAACGCACAUUGCGCCCGCCAGAAUUCUGGCGGGCAUGCCUGUUCGAGCGUCAUUUCAACCCUCGAGCUCCCCUUUCGGGGGGAGCCCGGCGUUGGGGACCCGGCGCUAACAACGCCGGCCCCGAAAUGGAGUGGCGGCCCGUCCGCGGCGACCUCUGCGUAGUAACAACCACUCGCACCGGGACCCGGGCGCGGCCACGCCGUAAAACACCCCACCUUCCGAAUGUUGACCUCGAAUCAGGUAGGAAUACCCGCUGAACUUAAGCAU
Molecule: ribosomal RNA, 587 nt
Filed under: fungal sp. 51662
Lineage: Eukaryota; Fungi
Description: eukaryotic LSU rRNA
Rfam family: 5.8S ribosomal RNA (bases 219-372)
Source: RNAcentral